Molecule: long non-coding RNA, 3544 nt
Organism: Erinaceus europaeus (western European hedgehog)
Lineage: Eukaryota; Metazoa; Chordata; Mammalia; Eulipotyphla; Erinaceidae
Exons: 2
Source: RefSeq, a predicted model, not a curated record
CCGGAGGUGGCGGGAGCGGGUACGAGGUUCGGCGUGCCCAACUCUGCAGUCACUCCCCGGGCCGGUGCCAGGGAAAGGCGCGGGGUGUCACAGGAAACCGGACAUCCGAGCUCCCCGCGUUCGCAGCCCGCGAGCUCUUGUCCAGCUCCAGGUGCACCUGGCCCUGCGCGAGGUCCUGCUCCAGCCAUGGAAAUAGCUCCGAAGUUAGAAAAGUUUCCAGAGAAAGGCAUCACAAUGGCGGGAACCCGCGGAAACCUUGGAACCAGCAGCGACCCUCCCUACACUGCCCCCCCCCCCUUUUUUUCCCUCUGAGUAACUUAAGAAUUAAGAAGUAGUUGCCUAGUAAAGCAGCAGCUGGAGGAGGUCACAGAAAGCAGCACAGGCUGUCUGAGGGAAGGAUGCUAAUGAUUCCUUUGAAACUUCUACCAGAUGGGGAAGAAGGACCAGAGUCUUCAAGAAGCAUAUAAAGAGAUACAGACUGUUUCGAUGAAGAGCUGGGUUUAAAUGAGAACAGAUCUGGGGUGGGGGGUGGGGGUGGUGGUAAUAAAGAGAGACAUGUGUUGAGCAUAUUGUAGGAAAUGACAUCUGCAGAAAAGUGACUGUUUCUCCCCUUGGAAAAUCUCCCAGGGGCUGCUUGCUGUCCUGAGAACAUAAGCCUUCUGCCUCUCUGGACCACAGUAAGCAGGUUGCAGAUGACCAUGGCAUUGAAUUUCAACAAUUUACAGAACAUACUAAGGCUCCCUUCCCCCCCCCCAACUAUUUUUGAACACACUGAUCAUAUAGAUUCAUAAAAUCUUAGCUGAAGAAGAUAAUGUGUCAUCAUCUGACUCCACUCUAUUUGAUUUAACUCUCUUCACCCAUCUUUUACUACUUAAACGCUUAAGAUACCUCUGGGGACAAAAAAAAGCCUGUGCUAUGUGUGGCUACAGAUUCCCUUUUUAAUGGUCAACGUUGCUGAGAAGAAUUUUCUUCCAUCUAUCCAUUGCUAUUGACAUCUGGACUUUACACAGCUUCUCCCUGCUUUAGUAAGAUAGCUCCAAAUUCGAGACUCAAGGCCUAAUUUAUGUAUCCCAUGUAGUAUACAAUUCAAAGCAUGGCUGAAUUCUUAAGUAUCCCACCAAGCCUGUAGGGAGGGUCUUCCUUAUUCAGAUAUUUUUCAUUUGUUCUUGCAACUUUGGAUCAAGUUUAUUUUCUGGCAGCUAAGUAACAGUGUUUAUUCAGACUCCCAAUUUAAUUCCUCAAGGAUUUUGCCUUGAUAUUGUCAUUUAAUUACAUCUCUAUCACCCUGCAUUUGGAAAAUUACCUUAUUGUGCCCAAAGUUUGAACUCUGUUCUUUAUCAUUAAGCUCCAUUCUUUUAGAAUCAAUCCAUUGCCCCAUAUGGUGGAUGUAUUUUGAAGUGUUGAUGUUCAGUCUGUAUUAUUUACUUUUCAUAUCUUCUGAGGGAUGUAUGUUUGAUCUAAUGACCAUGUUUGUCUUCUGUUACUAAUCAAAUGUAAAGAAAAGAAGGUGGGAGGGGGAGUACUAAAGAAAGACCAGCAGAUGCCUGGGGACUUCAUGUGUGAUUUUGUGCUUUUGGAUUUCAAUUCAUUUUAUUUUAUUUUAUUUUUUAACAUUCAAGUAGUCAGAGAAAGAGAGAGACACACAGUACUGGAGUUUCCCCCAUUGCCACGCAGUGCCAGAGUUCAAAUCUUGGCUACAACUAUGGCAAGACGUUCACUCUACCUGCACAAGUAUUCCUCAGUUUCUUACCAUUCUUUAUAGUAGUGAUUGUCCACUUACACUGGGAGUAAAAAUAAUGGGAAAUUUCAGAAACAGGUGUUUGAGUCCAUCAGAAGAGAUUCUUGUAUAGUAGGUGAACUUAUAGUUGGACCAGGAAGAUAGUACAAUGGCUAAGCAAAAUAAUUAAUAUCAUAUCAGAAGCUCAUGUAUCCAAGGUUCAAUGUCAGGUAUCAUUGUAAGUCAGAACAAAGAAGUACUCUGGUUAAAAAAAUAAUAAAUUUUUCCAGAGAGAUAACAUAGUGGUUAUGCAAAGAUCUGUCAUACCUGAGGCUCUAAGACUCCAUAUUCAGUUCCAGCACCACUAUACACCAGGUCAAUAACAACAAAAAAAGGAAUCACUGAGCUUAUUAAAUAUCAUACUUGAAUAUUGUUUGGGAAUGACUUGAUAAAAAUCUCAGUUAUAAUUAUUGACACUUUUUCUGUGCUUGUGACUAUAAUUAUUUUAGGUAUUUCAUUGGUUUUAUCUUAUAGUUCUUGAGUUUAUAAUGUCUUAUCUUUUUUAUUAUUUUUUAUUGCCACCAGGGUUAUCGCUAGUGCUCCAUGCCUGUACUCUGACACUUCCACUCCCAAUAGCCAUUUCCCCUUCCCCUUUUUUCUUUCUUUUAAUUUUAUUUUUUAUUUUACAUAACAUAGAAAAAUUGACAAGGGAGGGAAACAGAUACAGAGGGAGAGAGACAGAGAUAUACCCACAACACUACUUCACUGCAUGUGAAGCUUUCUAUUCACAGGUGGAGAUCGGGGACAUGAACCCUGGCACUUGCACAUGGUAACAUAGGGUGUGCCACCAUCCAGCAUAUAAUGCCCUUUGAGAAUUUAGAUAAUCUAUGAACACGAUACUUAGCUAGUUAUGUCAAUGUGAUGGAGUUGUUUCUUAGAGGAAAUUUUAGUUUGGAAAAGGUAGAUGCCAAACUUGUAAUUAAAUGUACUGUUUGCUUCAGGAGAUGCCCAUAAAUCAAUUUAUUGAAGAAAGUAAUCUCAUUCUUGCAAAAAGUUUGCUUGUCAAUAAUUGUUACUUAUCAAAACCCCUCAUACCUAUGUCAACCAAUCCUGAACUACUUACUGUAUCAUGAAAUAUGCCCAAAUCUUCUCAAUUCCCAAUUUGAAAACUUACCUGUCUAUGGCCCUAUCACCCUGAACAUUAACUUAUUUGGUCCAAAUCCUCUAUAACUACAAUUAUUCUACAAUUGAUUUUUUUUAUCUGUUUUGUUUUGAGCUAAUACCUAAGUAAGGAAUUGUCAAAAUAUCCUGUUGUUAUUUGGUUAUUUGUCAAAGCAUUCUCCUUUAUUAAAUAUAAUUUGGGGGGGUUGUUUAAAAAAGACUUACUGGUAUUAAAAAAAAUUGGUAAGGAUGAAUUCCUCUUAAUCAUAAGUGGGUUUAGUGCUUAAGUAACACUUUCUCAAUUAUUUGAAAAGCUUGGGGGUGGGACAGGGGAACCCCAGUUCCUAGAAAAGCUGUCAUAAAAUAAAUGGAGAACUAAGACUGAUGGACUCACAAAUACUUUAAUUUUUUACAAAUACUUUUAAUGUUUUUCAAGAAGACAUUAGUUAAUACAAAACACAGAAUCUAUAAAGGAGAGGAGCAGACAAGGAGAUAGCAUAAUUGUUAUGCAGGGGAAAUAAAAAGGUUAACUCCUGAAACAGUAAAGGUUCCAGGCUUAAUCUCUAGCACCACCAAAAACCAGAGCUGUUCAGUGCUCUGGUAAAAUAAAACAAAACAAAACAAUGCAGCCCACCCUACCCCCACUCUCUCAUCUCCACUCCCCCC